This 1174-nucleotide ribosomal RNA is filed under the name Acinetobacter indicus. RNAcentral describes it as "bacterial SSU rRNA". It matches the Rfam family "Bacterial small subunit ribosomal RNA", at positions 31 to 1137 of the family's 1533-position model. Lineage: Bacteria; Pseudomonadati; Pseudomonadota; Gammaproteobacteria; Moraxellales; Moraxellaceae. The record is from RNAcentral.
UGCCGUUACCGGCAAGCUAACACAUGCAAGUCGAGCGGAGCGAGGGUGCUUGCACCUUAGCUUAGCGGCGGACGGGUGAGUAAAGCUUAGGAAUCUGCCUAUUAAUGGGGGACAACCUUCCGAAAGGGAUGCUAAUACCGCAUACGUCCUACGGGGGAAAGCAGGGGAUCUUCGGACCUUGCGCUAAUAAAUGAGCCUAAGUCGGAUUACCUAGUUGGUGGGGUAAAGGCCUACCAAGGCGACGAUCUGUAGCGGGUCUGAGAGGAUGAUCCGCCACACUGGGACUGAGACACGGCCCAAACUCCUACGGGAGGCACCAGUGGGGAAUAUUGGACAAUGGGGGGAACCCUGAUCCAGCCAUGCCGCGUGUGUGAAAAAGGCCUUUUGGUUGUAAAGCACUUUAAGCGAGGAGGAGGCGCUCUAGGAUAAUACCCUAGAUGCGUGGACGUUACUCGCAGAAUAAGCACCGGCUAACUCUGUGCCAGCAGCCGCGGUAAUACAGAGGGUGCGAGCGUUAAUCGGAUUUACUGGGCGUAAAGCGCGCGUAGGUGGCUAAUUAAGUCAAAUGUGAAAUCCCCGAGCUUAACUUGGGAAUUGCAUUCGAUACUGGUUAGCUAGAGUAUGGGAGAGGAUGGUAGAAUUCCAGGUGUAACGGUGAAAUGCGUAUAGAUCUGGAGGAAUACCGAUGGCGAAGGCAGCCAUCUGGCCUAAUACUGACACUGAGGUGCGAAAGCAUGGGGAGCAAACAGGAUUAGAUACCCUGGUAGUCCAUGCCGUAAACGAUGUCUACUAGCCGUUGGGGCCUUUGAGGCUUUAGUGGCGCAGCUAACGCGAUAAGUAUACCGCCUGGGGGAGUACGGGUCGCAAGACUAAAACUCAAAUGAAUUGACGGGGGCCCGCACAAGCGGUGAGCAUGUGGUUUAAAUUCGAUGCAACGCGAAGAAUCCUAUCCUGGCCUUGACAUACAGAGAACUUUUCACGAGAUGGAAUUGUGCCUUCGGGAACUCUGAUACAGUGCUGCAUGGCUGUCGUCAACUCGUGUCCUGAGAUGUUGGCUAAGUUCCCGCCACGAGCGCAACCUAUUCUAACUGCAGCAAUUCGAUGCAACUACGAUACUGCAUGACACUGAGAGCGCACACGUCAGUCACAUGCCUUACGACAGCUACAACGUGCC